Molecule: ribosomal RNA, 253 nt
Filed under: uncultured bacterium
Lineage: Bacteria
Description: partial 16S ribosomal RNA
Rfam family: Archaeal small subunit ribosomal RNA
Source: RNAcentral
UACCAGCACCCCGAGUGGUCGGGACGAUUAUUGGGCCUAAAGCAUCCGUAGCCGGUCCUACAAGUCUUCCGUUAAAUCCACCUGCUUAACAGAUGGGCUGCGGAAGAUACUAUAGGGCUAGGAGGCGGGAGAGGCAAGCGGUACUCAGUGGGUAGGGGUAAAAUCCUCUGAUCCAUUGAAGACCACCAGUGGCGAAGGCGGCCUGCCAGAACGCGCUCGACGGUGAGGGAUGAAAGCUGGGGGAGCAAACCGG